RNAcentral lists this ribosomal RNA (505 nucleotides) under uncultured bacterium. Its description in RNAcentral is "bacterial SSU rRNA". It matches the Rfam family "Bacterial small subunit ribosomal RNA", at positions 62 to 543 of the family's 1533-position model. The record is from RNAcentral.
UCGAGCGAGAAAGGGGGCUUCGGCCCCCGAGUAAAGCGGCGUACGGGUGAGUAACACGUGGGUAAUCUGCCCUUCGGUGGGGGACAACAAUCCGAAAGGAUUGCUAAUACCGCAUUCGUCGGCGAGGUCUGCGGACCACGUCGAGAAAGUGGGCCUCUACUUGUAAGCACACGCCGAAGGAGGAGCCCGCGUCCCAUCAGCUAGUUGGUAGGGUAAUGGCCUACCAAGGCAAAGACGGGUAGCUGGUCUGAGAGGAUGAUCAGCCACACUGGGACUGAGACACGGCCCAGACUCCUACGGGAGGCAGCAGUGGGGAAUAUUGGACAAUGGGCGAAAGCCUGAUCCAGCCAUGCCGCGUGAGUGAUGAAGGCCCUCGGGUCGUAAAGCUCUGUGGAGAGGGAAGAAUCCUUGCAGCAUCAGAUCCUGCAAGUUGACGGUACCUCUUUAGCAAGCACCGGCUAACUCCGUGCCAGCAGCCGCGGUAAUACGGAGGGUGCAAACGUUG